Molecule: long non-coding RNA, 1565 nt
Organism: Equus asinus (donkey)
Lineage: Eukaryota; Metazoa; Chordata; Mammalia; Perissodactyla; Equidae
Source: Ensembl
GUAAGAGUCAUGAGAGAGCUUGCUUCCUCUCUCUGCUCUCUGCUAUGGGGGGAUACAACCAGAAGUUGACAGUCUGCAACCCAACAGAGAGUUCUCACCAGAUCUCAACCGUGCUGGCAGCCUGAUCUUGGAUUUCCAGCUGGCAGAACUUGUCAAAACAUUAUAGUGACAUCCCUGACAUAUCCAUUCCCCCUGAGGUCGACUGUGCGAGAGGCUGAUCUCACAUCAUACACAGGAGAAGCCACAGCAGAAAAGAGCAAUGAGGUUUACAGAACUUAGAAAGGAAGAUACCAAGAAGUAGUGAAAUCAUAGUAUGUUUCGUUACUGAUAUUCUUCUAAGGUGAUUGGACAGAACAUGCCAGCUGUAGGCAGAAGAGAUGGAGAAGAAGAAAUUCGAGAAAUUCUAAGCGUGAGGAAGAUAAGACCUGUCUUUCUUGGCCCUAAGAUGUGGAGUUCUGUUUGAAAGGACUGGGAAGAGGCCUUUAGGAAUUAAGUGUGGCCCCCAGUUGACAGCGCGGCAAGAAAAUCGUGACUACCUUCCUACAACCAAUUGGAUUUGGCUGAGAACCUGAAUGAGUUUAGAAGCAAUUCAUCCCCAUACCAGCGGAAAGGAACGUAGGUCUGUGACAUCUUGAGCUCAGCCUUCUGAAAGUUUAAGCAUAGGACUCAGCCCCUGCUAUUAAUCAGUCUUCAAUUACAAUUUGGAAACAUAUGAGAGAUGAAAUAGCAUCUGCAACAUAACGUAUCAGGAAGAGGAAAGAGUAUCUCUGGAAUUCUCUUUUUGGACUUUUGCCUCCUCUGUCUGCCAGGUAUCAAGACACAACUCGUGUGUCUUCUUCAUCAACAUUCACAAGACCCUUCAGUCAGAAGAGAUGACUUCAUCCAUGUGCCUCUCCUGUGCCUUGUACUUCCCUAUUUUGAGAGUUUUCCUACAGUAUUUUAGAAGACUAUAAAAGAAAAGCAAUGAAAGAUUGACUGACUUCAGAUUGUGGAAAUGUGUGUGCUUUUUCUCUUUAUUUCUAUAUUUUCAAAAUUUCUUAUAGUGAUCUUAUAUCACCUUCAUAAUAUAGUAAAAUGUUAUAUAAAACAUUAGAGCAUAUAUAGAUACUUUUUAAAUGGAAACACACACAAACAUUCCUCACUAGAGUAAACUCCUUGUAUACGGACUUGUUUCAUUUUUUCUUUUCCUUAUUUUUUAAAAAAAAUUAUUUUAAAAUUUAUCUCUAUUUCAACCAGGAGACAACUGAUUAAAUUAUUAUUAGAAAUUAGUAGCAUAUUAUAUCAAAAUGAAACAGUAAAUAUAACUCAGCAAAUUAGAUUUUUAAAAGCAAAUGAAAACAUAAGCACGGCUAGCUUAACAUGAAGAGCUAAAGAAAAAAUGACAUUUUAAAAAUUUUCUCCUUACAUUUUUGAAAUACAUCUGGACCUUUGUUAUAGCAUACAGCAUUUUGUUGAUAUUAAACGUGUUCUGUACUUAGUCCAGUUUCUAAAUUUGCAAUUUAUUUUGUACAAAGCACAUUUGCUUGCUUAUGUGUUUUAAAGUUCAUCCGUUUCAUAAUGUUUUA